Molecule: ribosomal RNA, 265 nt
Filed under: uncultured bacterium
Lineage: Bacteria
Description: partial 16S ribosomal RNA
Rfam family: Bacterial small subunit ribosomal RNA
Source: RNAcentral
UGACCCUACGGGGCGCAGCAGUGGGGAAUAUUGCACAAUGGGGGAAACCCUGAUGCAGCGACGCCGCGUGAGUGAAGAAGUACUUCGGUAUGUAAAGCUCUAUCAGCAGGGAAGAAAAUGACGGUACCUGACUAAGAAGCCCCGGCUAACUACGUGCCAGCAGCCGCGGUAAUACGUAGGGAGCAAGCGUUAUCCGGAAUUAUUGGUUGUAAAGGGUGCGUAGACGGGACAGCAAGUUAGUUGUGAAAGCCCUCGGCUUAACUGA